CCAAACUUGGUCAUUUAGAGGAAGUAAAAGUCGUAACAAGGUUUCCGUAGGUGGGGAUCAUUAAUUUUUUUUUUGAGCCAUUUUUUUAUGGCUUCAAAAAAAAAAAUACACUCACCCUUUGUGCAACCACUGAGAAAAGUUAAUCUUUGGGAGAUGAGUUUUGAUCUCAUCUCCCAAAGGUGUUUGUAUAAAACUUUUUUCUAUUACUUAUUGUCUUAAGAUAUAAUAAAUUAAUAAAUAAUAAAAACAACUUUCAACAACGGAUCUCUUGGCUCUCGCAUCGAUGAAGAACGCAGC
RNAcentral lists this unclassified non-coding RNA (297 nucleotides) under uncultured fungus. RNAcentral's name for it is "partial contains small subunit ribosomal RNA, internal transcribed spacer 1, and 5.8S ribosomal RNA". The stretch from base 249 to 297 matches the Rfam family "5.8S ribosomal RNA", at positions 1 to 49 of the family's 154-position model. The record is from RNAcentral. Lineage: Eukaryota; Fungi.